GACGAACGCUGGCGGCGUGCUUAACACAUGCAAGUCGAGCGGAUAGGCCCUUUCGGGGGUACUCGAGCGGCGAACGGGUGAGUAACACGUGAGUAAUCUGCCCCUGGCUUUGGGAUAGCCACCGGAAACGGUGAUUAAUACCGGAUACGACACUUCUCGCAUGGGAUGGUGGUGGAAAGUUUUUCGGCCAGGGAGGUGCUCGCGGCCUAUCAGCUUGAUGGUGAGGUCAUGGCUCACCAUGGCUUCGACGGGUAGCCGGCCUGAGAGGGUGAGCGGUCACACUGGGACUGAGACAAGGCCCAGACUGCUACGUGAGGCAGCAGUGGGGAAUAUUGGACAGUGGGCGGAAGCCUGAUCCAGCAACGCCGCGUGAGGGAUGACGGCCUUCGGGUUGUAAACCUCUUUCAGCAGGGACGAAGCGCAAGUGACGGUACCUGCAGAAGAAGCACCGGCCAACUACGUGCCAGCCGCCGCCGUAA
Molecule: ribosomal RNA, 479 nt
Filed under: uncultured bacterium
Lineage: Bacteria
Description: partial 16S ribosomal RNA
Rfam family: Bacterial small subunit ribosomal RNA
Source: RNAcentral